UAAAUGGGAAAACACCAAACCAAAGUUUGGAGCAUAAAAACAUUGUGAUUGCACACAAACCAGAAGUAAAUGAUCUGCUGGUUGUGUGUUCCUCAAUGCACCAGUCUUCCUGUGACUAAACACAUAACAGACACUCAGCCAUCGUGUCACAGCGUUUAAUGUGUCUCUGGAGGUUGACAGAUUAACUGUGAGCUUUUUCUCACAGCAGGCCGAGCUGUUGAGUGAGAAACACCCUCACGCUUCCUGCAUGAACCAUCUCAACAAUUCACAUCAUUUACCCUGGGAAAAACACCUCACUGCCAGCCACGACUUUCCGUGCAAUGCCGACAAAAAAUGAGA
This is a long non-coding RNA of Sinocyclocheilus rhinocerous, 339 nucleotides long. RefSeq lists it as uncharacterized. NCBI's taxonomy places the organism in Eukaryota, Metazoa, Chordata, Actinopteri, Cypriniformes, Cyprinidae. The record is from RefSeq and is a predicted model, not a curated record. The transcript is spliced from 3 exons.